UACGGAGGGUGCAAGCGUUAUCCGGAUUCACUGGGUUUAAAGGGUGCGUAGGUGGAUUUAUAAGUCAGUGGUGAAAGCCCCGAGCUCAACUUGGGAAUUGCCAUUGAUACUGUAGAUCUUGAGUGCGGUUGAGGUAGGCGGAAUAUAUCAUGUAGCGGUGAAAUGCUUAGAUAUGAUAUAGAACACCAAUUGCGAAGGCAGCUUACCAAGCCGAUACUGACACUGAUGCACGAAAGCGUGGGGAUCAAAC
Molecule: ribosomal RNA, 250 nt
Filed under: uncultured bacterium
Lineage: Bacteria
Description: partial 16S ribosomal RNA
Rfam family: Bacterial small subunit ribosomal RNA
Source: RNAcentral